UGAGGAAUAUUGGACAAUGGGCGCAAGCCUGAUCCAGCCAUGCCGCGUGCAGGAUGACGGUCCUAUGAAUUGUAAACUGCUUUUGUACAGGAAGAAACAGUUCUACGUGUAGAACCUUGACGGUACUGUAAGAAUAAGGAUCGGCUAACUCCGUGCCAGCAGCCGCGGUAAUACGGAGGAUCCAAGCGUUAUCCGGAAUCAUUGGGUUUAAAGGGUCCGUAGGCGGUUAGAUAAGUCAGUGGUGAAAGCCCAUCGCUCAACGGUGGAACGGCCAUUGAUACUGUCUGACUUGAAUUAUUAGGAAGUAACUAGAAUAUGUAGUGUAGCGGUGAAAUGCUUAGAGAUUACAUGGAAUACCAAUUGCGAAGGCAGGUUACUACUAAUGGAUUGACGCUGAGGCACGAAAGCGUGGGGAGCGAACAGGAUUAGAUACCCAGGUAGUCCCUGAGCGGGCUGGCAAGGCGCAU
Molecule: ribosomal RNA, 467 nt
Filed under: uncultured bacterium
Lineage: Bacteria
Description: bacterial SSU rRNA
Rfam family: Bacterial small subunit ribosomal RNA
Source: RNAcentral